AGAGUUUGAUCCUGGCUCAGGAUCAACGCUGGCGGCGUGCCUAAUGCAUGCAAGUCGAGCGGGGUGCUCUUCGGAGCACUUACGCGGCGGACGGGUGCGGAACACGUGGGCAACCUGCCCCGAGGUGGGGGAUAGCCGGUGGAAACACCGGGUAAUUCCGCAUACGGUCACUGGCUGGAGGGCUGGUGAGGAAAGGGUCUUCGGACUCGCCUUGGGAGGGGCCUGCGGCCGAUUAGCUAGACGGUGGGGUAACGGCCUACCGUGGCGAUGAUCGGUAGCUGGUCUGAGAGGACGGCCAGCCACACGGGGACUGAGACACGGCCCCGACUCCUACGGGAGGCAGCAGCAAGGAAUCUUCCGCAAUGGGCGAAAGCCUGACGGAGCAACGCCGCGUGUGGGAUGACGCCUUUCGGGGUGUAAACCACUUUUCUCAGGGAAGAAUUCCUGACGGUACCUGAGGAAUAAGGACCGGCUAACUACGUGCCAGCAGCCGCGGUAAUACGUAGGGUCCGAGCGUUGUCCGGAGUUACUGGGCGUAAAGCGCGCGCAGGCGGCGGUGUAAGCAUGGCGUGAAAGCCCCAGGCUCAACCUGGGAGGGUCGUCGUGGACUGCACCGCUUGAGGGCGGUAGGGGCUGGUGGAAUGCCUGGUGUAGUGGUGAAAUGCGUAGAGAUCAGGCGGAACACCCGUGGCGAAGGCGGCCAGCUGGGCCGUCCCUGACGCUGAGGCGCGAAGGCGUGGGGAGCGAACGGGAUUAGAUACCCCCGUAGUCC
This 772-nucleotide ribosomal RNA is filed under the name uncultured Sphaerobacter sp. Its description in RNAcentral is "bacterial SSU rRNA". It matches the Rfam family "Bacterial small subunit ribosomal RNA", at positions 8 to 796 of the family's 1533-position model. Lineage: Bacteria; Pseudomonadati; Thermomicrobiota; Thermomicrobia; Sphaerobacterales; Sphaerobacteraceae. The record is from RNAcentral.